UUGGGGAUGAGAUUUUGACCUGUUUGCCAUUCUCUGAGCAUUGAUGCUGUUCUGAAGCCUGAC
This 63-nucleotide small nucleolar RNA is filed under the name Euglena gracilis. RNAcentral describes it as "Eg-m156 box C/D methylation-guide". The record is from RNAcentral. Lineage: Eukaryota; Euglenozoa; Euglenophyceae; Euglenales; Euglenaceae.